GAUGAACGCUGGCGGCGUGCCUAAUACAUGCAAGUCGAGCGAACGGACGAGAAGCUUGCUUCUCUGAUGUUAGCGGCGGACGGGUGAGUAACACGUGGAUAACCUACCUAUAAGACUGGGAUAACUUCGGGAAACCGGAGCUAAUACCGGAUGAUAUUUUGAACCGCAUGGUUCAAAAGUGAAAGACGGUCUUGCUGUCACUUAUAGAUGGAUCCGCGCUGCAUUAGCUAGUUGGUAAGGUAACGGCUUACCAAGGCAACGAUGCAUAGCCGAUCUGAGAGGGUGAUCGGCCACACUGGAACUGAGACACGGUCCAGACUCCUACGGGAGGCAGCAGUAGGGAAUCUUCCGCAAUGGGCGAAAGCCUGACGGAGCAACGCCGCGUGCGGGAUGAAGGUCUUCGGAUCGUAAAACUCUGUUAUUAGGGAAGAACAUAUUUGUAAGUAACUGUGCACAUCUUGACGGUACCUAAUCAGAAAGCCACGGCUAACUACGUG
RNAcentral lists this ribosomal RNA (497 nucleotides) under uncultured bacterium. RNAcentral describes it as "partial 16S ribosomal RNA". It matches the Rfam family "Bacterial small subunit ribosomal RNA", at positions 28 to 507 of the family's 1533-position model. The record is from RNAcentral.